GAGUUUGAUCCUGGCUCAGGACGAACGCUGGCGGCGCGCCUAACACAUGCAAGUCGAACGAGCGAGAGGAGGUUUACUUUCUCAAGCGAGUGGCGAACGGGUGAGUAACGCGUGAGGAACCUGCCUCAAAGAGGGGGACAACAGUUGGAAACGACUGCUAAUACCGCAUAAGCCCACGACCUGGCAUCGGGUAGAGGGAAAAGGAGCAAUCCGCUUUGAGAUGGCCUCGCGUCCGAUUAGCUAGUUGGUGAGGUAAUGGCCCACCAAGGCAACGAUCGGUAGCCGGACUGAGAGGUUGAACGGCCACAUUGGGACUGAGACACGGCCCAGACUCCUACGGGAGGCAGCAGUGGGGAAUAUUGCACAAUGGGGGAAACCCUGACCCAGCAACGCCGCGUGAGGGAUGACGGUUUUCGGAUUGUAAACCUCUGUCCUCUGUGAAGAUAGUGACGGUAGCAGAGGAGGAAGCUCCGGCUAACUACGUGCCAGCCGCCGCGGUAAUUC
Molecule: ribosomal RNA, 504 nt
Filed under: uncultured bacterium
Lineage: Bacteria
Description: bacterial SSU rRNA
Rfam family: Bacterial small subunit ribosomal RNA
Source: RNAcentral